AUUGAACGCUGGCGGAAUGCUUUACAUAUGCAAGUCGAACGGCAGCACGGACUUCGGUCUGGUGGCGAGUGGCGAACGGGUGAGUAAUGUAUCGGAACGUGCCCAGUCGUGGGGGAUAACGUAGUGAAAAUUACGCUAAUACCGCAUACGAUCUAUGGAUGAAAGCGGGGGAUCGCAAGACCUCGCGCGAUUGGAGCGGCCGAUAUCAGAUUAGGUAGUUGGUGGGGUAAAGGCCCACCAAGCCAACGAUCUGUAGCUGGUCUGAGAGGACGACCAGCCACACUGGAACUGAGACACGGUCCAGACUCCUACGGGAGGCAGCAGUGGGGAAUUUUGGACAAUGGGCGAAAGCCUGAUCCAGCUAUUCCGCGUGCAGGAUGAAGGCCCUCGGGUUGUAAACUGCUUUUGUACAGAACGAAAAGGUUUCUACUAAUACUAGGAGCUCAUGACGGUACUGUAAGAAUAAGCACCGGCUAACUACGUGCCAGCCGCCGCAGUAA
Molecule: ribosomal RNA, 500 nt
Filed under: uncultured bacterium
Lineage: Bacteria
Description: partial 16S ribosomal RNA
Rfam family: Bacterial small subunit ribosomal RNA
Source: RNAcentral